UGGCAAAAUAAUGGCAAGGUGGUAGCUAA
Molecule: non-coding RNA, 29 nt
Filed under: Rattus norvegicus (Norway rat)
Lineage: Eukaryota; Metazoa; Chordata; Mammalia; Rodentia; Muridae
Source: RNAcentral